GCCAUGUUUGGUACUCCUGGGCAGUGAAAAACCCGGUUAGCUUGGGCACCUCACGCUGAACAGAGUACUGCAGUCUUAGCAACAGUCUGGACUCCGCUGGGACCAAUGAUGGGUUACAAGCCUGUGCACCACACCUAAUAAUACCUACCUGGAAGGGUGAGUGGUGGCGCCUAAGUAAGUCCCUGAGGCAAAGAACAGGGUCCAGCUCUUAGAGGUGGAUCAGUCAGGAUGUGUCUCUGUCUCCAUCUCCCAGCAUGCCUAGCGAAUCCAGGUAUACUGACAGGGGCGUGGAGCCGGAGCAGCAGCAAACUACACUGCAGGAUGCCUAAUACCAAC
This is a long non-coding RNA of Myodes glareolus (Bank vole), 336 nucleotides long. RefSeq lists it as uncharacterized. The record is from RefSeq and is a predicted model, not a curated record. Lineage: Eukaryota; Metazoa; Chordata; Mammalia; Rodentia; Cricetidae.